CGAGGGGCAGCGGGGUAGUGCUUGCACUACUGCCGGCGACCGGCGCACGGGUGAGUAACACGUAUGGAACCUGCCCGCAGCAGGGGGAUAAGCGGAAGAAAUUCCGUCUAAUACCGCGUAACAACGUUGGGAGGCAUCUCCCGAUGUUUAAAGAUUUAUCGGCUGCGGAUGGCCAUGCGGCGCAUUAGCUAGUCGGCGGGGUAACGGCCCACCGAGGCGACGAUGCGUAGGGGUUCUGAGAGGAAGGUCCCCCACACUGGUACUGAGACACGGACCAGACUCCUACGGGAGGCAGCAGUGAGGAAUAUUGGUCAAUGGCCGAGAGGCUGAACCAGCCAAGUCGCGUGAGGGAAGACGGCCCUACGGGUUGUAAACCUCUUUUGUCGGGGAGCAAAGCGAACCACGUGUGGUUCAUUGAGAGUACCCGAAGAAAAAGCAUUGGCUAACUCCGUGCCAGCAGCCGCGGUAAUACGGAGGAUGCGAGCGUUAUCCGGAUUUAUUGGGUUUAAAGGGUGCGCAGGCGGAGGUGCAAGUCAGCGGUCAAAUUGCGGGGCUCAACCCCGUACUGCCGUUGAAACUGCAUCCCUUGAGUGCGCGAGAAGUAUGCGGAAUGCGUGGUGUAGCGGUGAAAUGCAUAGAUAUCACGCAGAACUCCGAUUGCGAAGGCAGCAUACCGGCGCGCAACUGACGCUCAUGCACGAAAGCGUGGGUAUCGAACAGGAGUAGAUACCCUGGUAGUCCACGCAGUAAACG
RNAcentral lists this ribosomal RNA (753 nucleotides) under uncultured bacterium. Its description in RNAcentral is "bacterial SSU rRNA". It matches the Rfam family "Bacterial small subunit ribosomal RNA", at positions 63 to 808 of the family's 1533-position model. The record is from RNAcentral.